This is a long non-coding RNA of Nicotiana tabacum (common tobacco), 636 nucleotides long. RefSeq lists it as uncharacterized. The record is from RefSeq and is a predicted model, not a curated record. Lineage: Eukaryota; Viridiplantae; Streptophyta; Magnoliopsida; Solanales; Solanaceae.
CCUAAUCCUCUUUAUAAAAGGCCCUCUUUCCAAUCAUUAGGAACACAGAAAAAAGGGUGAAAAAACACAAACGGCUGAAAUCAGCUCUUUUCCAAAAAAUUCUGAAGAAAUUUUUUGAGUUCUGGCUAUUUUUGGAGUCAUUUGGUAGAGUUAUUCUAAAGCUGAAACAAAAUUUUGGUUUUUUGGAUUCGCUGAUAUUCGAUUUGAGCUGAGCUGCUGCAGACUUCUUUCUUCCUUUGAUCUGGUUUUUCCAUUUUCUUUUUUAGAUUGGCAAGCCAUAAACCAAGGUUAGAAUUUUAAAGGUUGUUAAAAGAAAAGGGCCUGGGAGUUGAUGAUUCAGUCGUGCUCCAUUGGAAUCAAUUGAAGUCCAUUUGGUACAAGUUCAAAUCCAAAAUUUGGCAUCUUGAGUUGGUAAUUGAAUAGAUGGCAGUGUUCUUCGCAUCAUCAGUUAGUUUUAAUUUAUUAGGGCAUGUAAAUUUAAAAUUCCCCUUUGAUUCAAGCUUCAUUAAGCCAUGGCAGUUUUGUAUAAUUUUAGUUCAAAUUGGGAUGUAAUUCAUGUAUUAUGGAAGUUUGGGUAAUUUGAAGUUUCGGAACUAUUUCCUUUUAAGCAAAAAUUUAUAAUUUUCCAUUGUUUAA